Molecule: long non-coding RNA, 269 nt
Filed under: Elaeis guineensis (African oil palm)
Lineage: Eukaryota; Viridiplantae; Streptophyta; Magnoliopsida; Arecales; Arecaceae
Description: long non-coding RNA (EGUI_LNC062339)
Source: RNAcentral
CCCAUUCUAUCACUUUGUGUCGUAUGAGUUGUAAGUGGGAUUUCUACCUUACCACAACUAGUUAUGCCGACAUACCUUUCUUUGAGUUUUCAACCCAAGUUCAAUACCUCCCCGACAAUAAUAAGUAUCUGAGGAUGAUUUCAAGAUGCCAUCCUAUUGGUGCAAUGUUGAAGAGCAUGUUGAGUGUAUACGAGAUUUGCAUGAUGUUGAAUUGGAUGAACUGUGCCACCAGAUAUAACAAUUUCAACAAGAAAAUUAGCGGCUUCAUC